Hyla sarda is the source of this 561-nucleotide long non-coding RNA. RefSeq lists it as uncharacterized. Lineage: Eukaryota; Metazoa; Chordata; Amphibia; Anura; Hylidae. The record is from RefSeq and is a predicted model, not a curated record. The transcript is spliced from 3 exons.
GGCUGUCAGCGUCUCACUUUUCCUCCUGCCGCAGUCUUCAUAUCAGAAGACCUUGAAAGGCUGCACCAUGUGGUUUCCUGGCUCAGGGAUCUCUAAACAGCGGCCAAAUAACAUGAGCUUUUAGUUCUGACAAUAUAGGAGGAAGUAAUGGAGGAGGCAGAACAAGUGGAACCAUCUUAUAACACAUUAGGACUAGAUCUGUGUAAACAGUCCCCUAGAGAGUUACCUGGUGAUAAUCUGCAUCUGGUGUAUUAAAUAAUGAAGUAGUUUUACAUUAGACAUGUUCUGACCCUAGAGCAAUGGCUGGAGACUAACCACUAUGUAUUGUACUGGUAACACGCGGAAGACUGAUGAAGAACUGAUGAUUAAUAUCCUGAACACCGGAGGCCAUUACUGAGAGCUGAAAACGUAAACAUACACUGCCGUCAACCUGGUCCAGUGAUGUCACAGCGGCUCAAAUGAUGUAUAAACUUCUAGUCUCUAUCUAAAGCUUGAAUGUCCCAGACCACCAUCUACUGCCAAUGACUUAUCACACCACAGCGAGUAUAGGCAGGAUUAAAG